This 552-nucleotide ribosomal RNA is filed under the name uncultured bacterium. RNAcentral's name for it is "bacterial SSU rRNA". It matches the Rfam family "Bacterial small subunit ribosomal RNA", at positions 359 to 917 of the family's 1533-position model. The record is from RNAcentral.
GGANUUGCGNAUGGGCGAAAGCCUGACGCAGCGACGCCGCGUGGGGGAUGAAGCUUUUCGGAGCGUAAACCCCUUUCGACCCGGACGAAUGCCCGCAAGGGCUUGACGGUACGGGUAGAAGAAGCCCCGGCUAACUUCGUGCCAGCAGCCGCGGUAAUACGAGGGGGGCGAGCGUUGUUCGGAAUUAUUGGGUGUAAAGGGUGCGUAGGCGGUUUGGUAAGUCUGAUGUGAAAUCUAUGGGCUCAACUCAUAGCUUGCAUCGGAAACUGCCGGGCUGGAGUGUGGGAGAGGUGAGUGGAAUUUCCGGUGUAGCGGUGAAAUGCGUAGAUAUCGGAAGGAACACCUGUGGCGAAAGCGGCUCACUGGACCAUAACUGACGCUGAUGCACGAAAGCUAGGGGAGCAAACAGGAUUAGAUACCCUGGUAGUCCUAGCCCUAAACCAUGACUGCUUGGUGUGACGGGUACCCAAUCCCGCCGUGCCGUAGCUAACGCGUUAAGCAGUCCGCCUGGGGAGUACGGUCGCAAGGCUGAAACUCAAAAAAAUUGACGGA